UAGAGAAAUUUAAUACCACAUGUCUUCAGCUACACCAAAUCUCAUCUGAUCCUGGAAGCUAAGCAAGUGUGGGCCUGGUUAGUACUUGGAUAAGAGCUAUUUCUUUAC
RNAcentral lists this ribosomal RNA (108 nucleotides) under Microtus ochrogaster (prairie vole). The record is from RNAcentral. Lineage: Eukaryota; Metazoa; Chordata; Mammalia; Rodentia; Cricetidae.